UGAGAAUGAUUACCAGUAUGCAAAUGUCAGGAGGUUUUUAAACAUAUGAAUUUGAUGUUUAUUUCUUUGUUUGGCUUUCUAGGCUUUAGUAAGCAAGAACAGUGCUGUGAUCGAAUGGCUAAGAAUCUGAGUGCUGGAACUUGCCUAGGUGGAGUCAGGUCACAGCUCUGCUAUUUUUAGUUCUGGGACCUCAGAUAUGUGACACACCAGUUCUCUCACCUUUAAAAUAGAGAUGAUACUGAUAUCUACCAUUUGAUUUAUUGAGGCUUCUUGUGGGAAUUACAUAAAUGAAUAUAUGUAAAUUACUUAGAGUAGUGCUUGGCACACAGCAGGCACUCAACAAAUACUAGAUAUUACACACAAUAAAAAAAUCCACCCCCCCUAAGAUAUAUACAUUUGGAAAUUGUUUUCUUCAUCCUUCUUUUAUAGUAUGUUAUUUGGAGUCUCUUUUUUUCCCUUUUGGUGUUUAGAGGGACUUUCGUCAAAAAUGAAAAGAAUGCCCUCAUUUUGGUAAAUAGCAAGAUGGAGGUAGUACAUUGGGUGCUUCUCUCCCUGAGGAUUCUUCCUGGCUUAGUUCCUGCCUGUCACUUUUGUUCUGAGGAUUUCAGUUUCCCCAUGCACCAAAAACACAGAACAGAUGUUAGGAGCUGAGUUAAUGGUGGCCCAUAACACUGAACACCUUGACUGAUAGGUUCAAAAGCUUCCUCCUAGCAAUUCAAUAGUGCCAAGAAUGAGUGAGCCAAGAGGGAGAGUUAUGGCCCUUUGCAAACCCAUAAGGAGUAGCUCUCAGUCUGCGCUUGACCAGUCUGAGGGUUUAGAAGACUGUUUUGUGGUACAGCUGAAUCCCCAGUGUGCUGUGUUCCCAGGGAAGAAAACCAAUAACAACAGAUCCCACAACUCAUACCAUUUGCUAAAUGGGCUUCCUCGCAAGUGGGGCUCUGGGAGGAAUCUCACAAUUUCCUGCCGCUUUGUCUCUGAAGGGUAGGUGGAGCAAUUUAAACUGUUCAAGAGAAAUCCAACUGGCCUCCAUGAGUACUUGUGAAAGAACUUGGAACUGCCACUGGAGGUCAGCGAGCAUCAUGUGGAAGGUGUUGGAAGAAGGGAGAAGACGCCUGUUGCCAGUCCUCAAAGUAGAUGGAAAAUCUGAUGCUCUGUGGGUGGCCUCCACAAAUCGUGUGAUCCAGAGAAAGGUAAGGUGGACACUACAGUGUUUUCUAUGGGAUGACCUCCACAAGGGGUGAAUACCAAGGGUCCUCAAUUGGAGCCACCUUGGAGGCUGGCUACUACAGUACUUUACCUUUUCAUUUAAUUGAGAUUUUAAUUGAUAUAAUUAGAGAUUUAUGUGCAAGUAUGAAAGACUAUCCAGUGCAUACUUUGCCAAGUUUUCCCCAAUUUUGCAUUUUCAAAACUCUAGUAUAAUAUUUCAACAUUGACAUUGAUAUAAUACACCAUUUUUAUUCAGCUUUCUCAGGUUUUCUCCUUCUCAUUAGUGUAUGUAUAUGCAUUUCUGUGUAUUAAGUUCUAUAUAAUUAAAUCACUUGUUGGUUCAUGUAUCUAAUACCUCAGUCAAGAUACUAAAGAAUUCCAGCACCACAAGAAUUCCUCCUCUUUUUCCUCCUCUUGGUUUUUUACAACCAUACCAUCCUCCUUCUUGUACUAACUCCUCUCGUCAAUCCUGACUCCUGGUAAACACUAAUCUGUGUUCAUUUCACAGGCAAAUGAUUAAACAAAC
Molecule: long non-coding RNA, 1732 nt
Filed under: Bos grunniens (domestic yak)
Lineage: Eukaryota; Metazoa; Chordata; Mammalia; Artiodactyla; Bovidae
Description: lncRNA (ENSBGRG00000002547.1)
Source: RNAcentral